RNAcentral lists this ribosomal RNA (666 nucleotides) under Triticum aestivum (bread wheat). Its description in RNAcentral is "partial small subunit ribosomal RNA". The record is from RNAcentral. Lineage: Eukaryota; Viridiplantae; Streptophyta; Magnoliopsida; Poales; Poaceae.
AUGUUGCGCAUCUCCACUCCGACGAGGUACCGGGCAGCACCGUUCCUGAAGCCUCGCACCGCCGUCACCACAGCAAAUCCGCCGAAGCCGCAUAGCCGUGGUCCAACACCACCCGCACUGCCGAGAGAGCGCGAACCAGACCUCCACCAACAUCGCCGUCGAGAAGCAACCACAUCCUCCAAGCGGAGCAAAAGCCAGAUCCACUCCAUUGGCCUUCAUCGACACCGAGAGACUGCCGCCAGAUUCGAUCUGCCCCCCCUCCAACCUCACUCCGGCGCCAUCUCCAUCGGGGCAUCGCCGCGAUCCCCUCACACGGAGGCGGCCGGAAGCCCGCUGCACGCCAGGACACCUUCCUGGCAGUGCCACCUCGGCGCCGCCGCCCCCAUGGCUGAUCCAACGCCGCCGCCACCGCCGUUGUUGGCGCUCCAUCUGCAGCCACCUACCAAUAGCGCUCCUCGCCAGGAUCCGGAGAACGCCCUCGCCGUGCCCCCGCAGUACCUCCAACUGCACCGCGAGCCCCCGCGCCGCCCGCGAGAAGAACGCCGCGCUAGACCACGCCACCCGCGCCUAGGCAGCGCGCCACCAGCCGCCACGCUGCCCGCUAGACGUAGCUCCCCGCGCGAAGGAGGUGCGUCGGGGCGCGCCACCCCUGCCCGCCGCCUUUGA